Molecule: transfer RNA, 53 nt
Filed under: Proasellus spelaeus
Lineage: Eukaryota; Metazoa; Arthropoda; Malacostraca; Isopoda; Asellidae
Description: transfert RNA-S1(AGA)
Source: RNAcentral
AAGAUAAUAAAAAUAAAUUUCUAAUUUAUGUAAAAGUAUAAACUUAUAUCUUU